RNAcentral lists this ribosomal RNA (253 nucleotides) under uncultured bacterium. Its description in RNAcentral is "partial 16S ribosomal RNA". It matches the Rfam family "Bacterial small subunit ribosomal RNA", at positions 524 to 776 of the family's 1533-position model. The record is from RNAcentral.
UACGUAGGGUGCAAGCGUUAAUCGGAAUUACUGGGCGUAAAGCGUGCGCAGGCGGUUUUGUAAGUCUGUCGUGAAAGCCCCGGGCUCAACCUGGGAAUUGCGAUGGAGACUGCAAGGCUAGAAUCUGGCAGAGGGGGGUAGAAUUCCACGUGUAGCAGUGAAAUGCGUAGAGAUGUGGAGGAACACCGAUGGCGAAGGCAGCCCCCUGGGUCAAGAUUGACGCUCAUGUACGAAAGCGUGGGGAGCAAACAGG